CGGACGGGUGAGUAAUGUCUGGGGAAACUGCCUGAUGGAGGGGGAUAACUACUGGAAACGGUAGCUAAUACCGCAUAAUGUCGCAAGACCAAAGAGGGGGACCUUCGGGCCUCUUGCCAUCGGAUGUGCCCAGAUGGGAUUAGCUAGUAGGUGGGGUAACGGCUCACCUAGGCGACGAUCCCUAGCUGGUCUGAGAGGAUGACCAGCCACACUGGAACUGAGACACGGUCCAG
RNAcentral lists this ribosomal RNA (233 nucleotides) under uncultured bacterium. Its description in RNAcentral is "partial 16S ribosomal RNA". It matches the Rfam family "Bacterial small subunit ribosomal RNA", at positions 99 to 334 of the family's 1533-position model. The record is from RNAcentral.